CUUAGAAUAUAUCUCAGCCACUGC
RNAcentral lists this non-coding RNA (24 nucleotides) under Arabidopsis thaliana (thale cress). The record is from RNAcentral. Lineage: Eukaryota; Viridiplantae; Streptophyta; Magnoliopsida; Brassicales; Brassicaceae.